UACGUAGGGCGCAAGCGUUGUCCGGAAUUAUUGGGCGUAAAGAGCUCGUAGGCGGUUUGUCGCGUCUGCUGUGAAAACCUAAGGCUCAACCUUGGGCUUGCAGUGGGUACGGGCAGACUAGAGUGCGGUAGGGGUGACUGGAAUUCCUGGUGUAGCGGUGGAAUGCGCAGAUAUCAGGAGGAACACCGGUGGCGAAGGCGGGUCUCUGGGCAACAACUGACGCUGGAGGAAGCGAAAGCCGUGGGGAGCGAACAGG
Molecule: ribosomal RNA, 256 nt
Filed under: uncultured bacterium
Lineage: Bacteria
Description: partial 16S ribosomal RNA
Rfam family: Bacterial small subunit ribosomal RNA
Source: RNAcentral